RNAcentral lists this ribosomal RNA (1358 nucleotides) under uncultured bacterium. RNAcentral describes it as "bacterial SSU rRNA". It matches the Rfam family "Bacterial small subunit ribosomal RNA", at positions 28 to 1381 of the family's 1533-position model. The record is from RNAcentral.
GAUGAACGCUAGCUACAGGCUUAACACAUGCAAGUCGAGGGGCAGCAUGGUCUUAGCUUGCUAAGGCCGAUGGCGACCGGCGCACGGGUGAGUAACACGUAUCCAACCUGCCGUCUACUCUUGGACAGCCUUCUGAAAGGAAGAUUAAUACAAGAUGGCAUCAUGAGUCCGCAUGUUCACAUGAUUAAAGGUAUUCCGGUAGACGAUGGGGAUGCGUUCCAUUAGAUAGUAGGCGGGGUAACGGCCCACCUAGUCUUCGAUGGAUAGGGGUUCUGAGAGGAAGGUCCCCCACAUUGGAACUGAGACACGGUCCAAACUCCUACGGGAGGCAGCAGUGAGGAAUAUUGGUCAAUGGGCGAGAGCCUGAACCAGCCAAGUAGCGUGAAGGAUGACUGCCCUAUGGGUUGUAAACUUCUUUUAUAAAGGAAUAAAGUCGGGUAUGGAUACCCGUUUGCAUGUACUUUAUGAAUAAGGAUCGGCUAACUCCGUGCCAGCAGCCGCGGUAAUACGGAGGAUCCGAGCGUUAUCCGGAUUUAUUGGGUUUAAAGGGAGCGUAGAUGGAUGUUUAAGUCAGUUGUGAAAGUUUGCGGCUCAACCGUAAAAUUGCAGUUGAUACUGGAUAUCUUGAGUGCAGUUGAGGCAGGCGGAAUUCGUGGUGUAGCGGUGAAAUGCUUAGAUAUCACGAAGAACUCCGAUUGCGAAGGCAGCCUGCUAAGCUGCAACUGACAUUGAGGCUCGAAAGUGUGGGUAUCAAACAGGAUUAGAUACCCUGGUAGUCCACACGGUAAACGAUGAAUACUCGCUGUUUGCGAUAUACUGCAAGCGGCCAAGCGAAAGCGUUAAGUAUUCCACCUGGGGAGUACGCCGGCAACGGUGAAACUCAAAGGAAUUGACGGGGGCCCGCACAAGCGGAGGAACAUGUGGUUUAAUUCGAUGAUACGCGAGGAACCUUACCCGGGCUUAAAUUGCAGAUGAAUUACGGUGAAAGCCGUAAGCCGCAAGGCAUCUGUGAAGGUGCUGCAUGGUUGUCGUCAGCUCGUGCCGUGAGGUGUCGGCUUAAGUGCCAUAACGAGCGCAACCCUUGUUGUCAGUUACUAACAGGUUCCGCUGAGGACUCUGACAAGACUGCCAUCGUAAGAUGUGAGGAAGGUGGGGAUGACGUCAAAUCAGCACGGCCCUUACGUCCGGGGCUACACACGUGUUACAAUGGGGGGUACAGAGGGCCGCUACCACGCGAGUGGGUGCCAAUCCCCAAAACCUCUCUCAGUUCGGACUGGAGUCUGCAACCCGACUCCACGAAGCUGGAUUCGCUAGUAAUCGCGCAUCAGCCACGGCGCGGUGAAUACGUUCCCGGGCCU